ACAACAAAGGUAAAGUAUGUGGGCACCCAUGAAACUCCAUGGUGCAUUCAUGUGCACCUCCUAAAUCUAAUGGUACAUUCAAUUAACCUCGUAAACUCUGAGAAACUCAAACUGUUGUUGCAAAGUACCCUUCUGCCAUUUAAUGGCUCUUAUUAUGAGAUCGCCUUA
Etheostoma spectabile (orangethroat darter) is the source of this 168-nucleotide long non-coding RNA. RefSeq lists it as uncharacterized. The record is from RefSeq and is a predicted model, not a curated record. NCBI's taxonomy places the organism in Eukaryota, Metazoa, Chordata, Actinopteri, Perciformes, Percidae. The transcript is spliced from 3 exons.